Molecule: ribosomal RNA, 497 nt
Filed under: uncultured bacterium
Lineage: Bacteria
Description: partial 16S ribosomal RNA
Rfam family: Bacterial small subunit ribosomal RNA
Source: RNAcentral
GAUGAACGCUGGCGGCGUGCCUAAUACAUGCAAGUCGAGCGAACAGACGAGGAGCUUGCUCCUCUGACGUUAGCGGCGGACGGGUGAGUAACACGUGGAUAACCUACCUAUAAGACUGGGAUAACUUCGGGAAACCGGAGCUAAUACCGGAUAAUAUAUUGAACCGCAUGGUUCAAUAGUGAAAGACGGUUUUGCUGUCACUUAUAGAUGGAUCCGCGCGGCAUUAGCUAGUUGGUAAGGUAACGGCUUACUAAGGCGACGAUGCGUAGCCGACCUGAGAGGGUGAUCGGCCACACUGGAACUGAGACACGGUCCAGACUCCUACGGGAGGCAGCAGUAGGGAAUCUUCCGCAAUGGGCGAAAGCCUGACGGAGCAACGCCGCGUGAGUGAUGAAGGUCUUCGGAUCGUAAAACUCUGUUAUUAGGGAAGAACAAAUGUGUAAGUAACUAUGCACGUCUUGACGGUACCUAAUCAGAAAGCCACGGCUAACUACGUG